Molecule: small nuclear RNA, 124 nt
Organism: Molossus molossus (Pallas's mastiff bat)
Lineage: Eukaryota; Metazoa; Chordata; Mammalia; Chiroptera; Molossidae
Source: RefSeq, a predicted model, not a curated record
GUGUCGUGGUAAAGCAAAGAGCCAGCACCCCCUUUGACAAGGAUGGAAGAGACUCUCGGACCUAACGACUGUCAUGCCGGUGGGGCACUGCCUCCUACUUUGUGGCAUGUAACCAUCUUUUUGU